CACUUUCUGUCCCUUCGUCUGGUCCAGCUUCUUGCACUCGCUGCCAACUUACUCGCAGCACCUCUGCCUCUGUCUUGCCAUCUACCACAACCGCCGGUGGAGACGAAGAAAUGUCUGAUUAUGAAUCUUCAC
This is a long non-coding RNA of Cucurbita maxima (winter squash), 132 nucleotides long. RefSeq lists it as uncharacterized. NCBI's taxonomy places the organism in Eukaryota, Viridiplantae, Streptophyta, Magnoliopsida, Cucurbitales, Cucurbitaceae. The transcript has 3 exons. The record is from RefSeq and is a predicted model, not a curated record.